This 918-nucleotide ribosomal RNA is filed under the name uncultured bacterium. RNAcentral's name for it is "bacterial SSU rRNA". It matches the Rfam family "Bacterial small subunit ribosomal RNA", at positions 33 to 942 of the family's 1533-position model. The record is from RNAcentral.
ACGCUGGCGGCAGGCUUAACACAUGCAAGUCGAACGGUAACAGGAAUUAGCUUGCUAAUUUGCUGACGAGUGGCGGACGGGUGAGUAAUGCUUGGGAAUCUGGCUUAUGGAGGGGGAUAACUACGGGAAACUGUAGCUAAUACCGCGUAAAAUCUUCGGAUUAAAGGGUGGGACUUUCGAGCCACCUGCCAUAAGAUGAGCCCAAGUGGGAUUAGGUAGUUGGUUAGGUAAAGGCUGACCAAGCCGACGAUCUCUAGCUGGUCUGAGAGGAUGACCAGCCACACUGGAACUGAGACACGGUCCAGACUCCUACGGGAGGCAGCAGUGGGGAAUAUUGCACAAUGGGGGGAACCCUGAUGCAGCCAUGCCGCGUGAAUGAAGAAGGCCUUCGGGUUGUAAAGUUCUUUCGGUGACGAGGAAGGUUGAUAGGUUAAUAGCCUAUCAAAUUGACGUUAAUCACAGAAGAAGCACCGGCUAACUCCGUGCCAGCAGCCGCGGUAAUACGGGGGGUGCGAGCGUUAAUCGGAAUAACUGGGCGUAAAGGGCACGCAGGCGGUGACUUAAGUGAGAUGUGAAAGCCCCGAGCUUAACUUGGGAAUUGCAUUUCAUACUGGGUCGCUAGAGUACUUUAGGGAGGGGUAGAAUUCCACGUGUAGCGGUGAAAUGCGUUGAGAUGUGGAGGAAUACCGAAGGCGAAGGCAGCCCCUUGGGAAUGUACUGACGCUCAUGUGCGAAAGCGUGGGGAGCAAACAGGAUUAGAUACCCUGGUAGUCCACGCUGUAAACGAUGUCGAUUUGGGGAUUGGGCUUUGAGCUUGGUGCCCGUAGCUAACGUGAUAAAUCGACCGCCUGGGGAGUACGGCCGCAAGGUUAAAACUCAAAUGAAUUGACGGGGGCCCGCACAAGCGGUGGAGCAUGU